This 492-nucleotide ribosomal RNA is filed under the name uncultured bacterium. Its description in RNAcentral is "partial 16S ribosomal RNA". It matches the Rfam family "Bacterial small subunit ribosomal RNA", at positions 29 to 507 of the family's 1533-position model. The record is from RNAcentral.
AGUGAACGCUGGCGGUAGGCCUAACACAUGCAAGUCGAACGGCAGCACCGUAAGAGCUUGCUCUUACGGGUGGCGAGUGGCGGACGGGUGAGGAAUACAUCGGAAUCUACUUUUUCGUGGGGGAUAACGUAGGGAAACUUACGCUAAUACCGCAUACGACCUACGGGUGACAGCAGGGGACCUUCGGACCUUGCGCGAUUGAAUGAGCCGAUGUCGGAUUAGCUAGUUGGCGGGGUAAAGGCCCACCAAGGCUACGAUCCGUAGCUGGUCUGAGAGGAUGAUCAGCCACACUGGAACUGAGACACGGUCCAGACUCCUACGGGAGGCAGCAGUCGGGAAUAUUGGACAAUGGGCGCAAGCCUGAUCCAGCCAUACCGCGUGGGUGAAGAAGGCCUUCGGGUUGUAAAGCCCUUUUGUUGGGAAAGAAAAGCAGCAGGUUAAUACCCCGCUGUUCUGACGGUACCCAAAGAAUAAGCACCGGCUAACUUCGUG